GGGGAGGCAGCAGUGGGGAAUCUUGCGCAAUGGGGCGAAAGCCUGACGCAGCGACGCCGCGUGGGUGACGAAGGCCUUCGGGUUGUAAAGCCCUGUGGGGGGAGGACGAACCGGGUCGUGGCUAAUAUCCACGGUCCUUGACGGUAUCCCUUUAGCAAGCAUCGGCUAACUCUGUGCCAGCAGCCGCGGUAAGACAGAGGAUGCAAACGUUGCUCGGAAUUACUGGGGCGUAAAAGCGCGCGCAGGUGGUCCGGUAAGUCGGGUGUGAAAUCCCGGGGCUCAACCUCGGAAGUGCACUCGAUACUGCUAGACUUGAGUACUGGAGAGGAGAGCGGAAUUCCCGGUGUAGAGGUGAAAUUCGUAGAUAUCGGGAGGAACACCAGUGGCGAAGGCGGCUCUCUGGACAGAUACUGACACUGAGGCGCGAAAGCGUGGGAAGCAAACAGGAUUAGAUACCCUGGUAGUCCACGCUGUAAACGAUGACGACUGGG
RNAcentral lists this ribosomal RNA (491 nucleotides) under uncultured bacterium. RNAcentral describes it as "bacterial SSU rRNA". It matches the Rfam family "Bacterial small subunit ribosomal RNA", at positions 342 to 820 of the family's 1533-position model. The record is from RNAcentral.